RNAcentral lists this ribosomal RNA (474 nucleotides) under Calanus sp. PKL-2014. RNAcentral describes it as "SSU rRNA". It matches the Rfam family "Eukaryotic small subunit ribosomal RNA", at positions 82 to 553 of the family's 1831-position model. The record is from RNAcentral. Lineage: Eukaryota; Metazoa; Arthropoda; Copepoda; Calanoida; Calanidae.
GUGAACCGCGAAUGGCUCAUUAAAUCACACCUAAUCUACUGGAUAGUUAACAGGUACUUGGAUACCUGCGGUAAUUCUGGAGCUAAUACAUGCGAAAAGCCUCGAACUUACGUGAGAGGUGCUUUUAUUAGAUCAAAACCAAUCGGCUUCGGCUGUACUCUUGGUGACUCUGAAUAACUUUGGGCUGAUCGUAUAGCCUUGCGCUGACGACAUAUCCUUCGAAGGUGUGCCCUAUCAACUGUCGACUGUGGCAUAGACGCCCACAGUGGUUUUGACGGGUAACGGGGAAUCAGGGUUCGAUUCCGGAGAGGGAGCCUUAAAAACGGCUACCACAUCUAAGGAAGGCAGCAGGCACGCAAAUUACCCAAUGAUCGAAGAUCGAGGUAGUGACGAAAAAUAACGAUCCAGGACUCAUCCGAGGCCCUGGAAUCGGAAUGAGUACACUUUAAAACCGUCCCCGAGGAUCCAUUGGAG